AAUUCCAAUAGUUAAAUUCCUAAGAUUCCCGGGAUGACAAAAAUAAUACCCAAAGGGGUUGGGUAGAGGUGAAUUCACAUUUAAAUCGUCUAACACAUUAUCGUGGAAAGUUGUAUACAGGGUAUAUACUUUUUUACUGUAUUAGAAUGCUAAAUUGCAGAAACUUUCUUUGUAUAAUCAAAGGCAGAAGAGGCACGUAUGCAAGGGUUCAAAAUUAAAUAUGAGAUUUAACAAAUCCGAACAGUUCACGAAAGACUAUAUGAAGUACAAUAUAUACAGUAGUCUUCACCCUGGCACAGGUGUAAGGCUCGGAAAUGAAAGCAGGGAAACGUAGAAAUGGAGGAAUCAGAUUGUGAGAAUAAUUUAGCGGUAAUAAUAAGUAGGUGGUGGUCACGCUCGGUUAAGGAGUGGUGGGUGGUGGUGGCCGUCAGUGGUGUAAUGGUUAAUAUGCAGUAUUGGGGACUCUUACAUAACCUGACAUGUAUAAUAAAUUUUUUUUAUCCUUAUGGCUUCAUUGUAUAAUUUAUGAUCAAUGAAAUCCUGUGUAUUGUUUUAUUUUACAAUGUUUCAGUAUGUUAAAAGUUGAAAAGCUUUUCUUAGAAUGGUUCAUUGGUUUGGGGGCUUCAGAGGGCCUGGAGCAUAUGUCUGAUCUAAUCUAAAGUUUACACCAGGGAAAGUGGGUCCUGGCGGCGAUGAUUUCGUUCUGGUGUUUGUGCUGGCCUGAGUUCUCCUCCGUGAGCCCUGCCUUUAUAUACCUUGGCUUGUGCUACUGAAGAGUCGUGGCCGAGGACUGACCGACUAGUGUGUACAACUCGGGGUGUACCCGUGUCUGAAGGUAUCAUGUUUAAAGGAUUGUCCCUGUGUUGUGAAGUUCGUCGGCAGCCAUAUACAGUACCUCAGCAGCCGGGUCGAAAGUUAUUGAGGCAGAAGCCACUGGAGAAGGCGCGCCUCACCGACUUCUGUGUUGCCAACAAUGAUCUUGGCUGCUGGGUGGAGAGUCUUCAGAUGGAGGAGUUGACUAAGGGAUGUUGGCCUGUAGAAGGUGACCCGUGGACCCCUUAACUCCAGCAGCAGUGUGUAAGAGAAAAUGGAUCACCAAGCUGACAUCUGACGAAGAGGUUAAAACUUAAUGCUAUUAUUGCAGCAUGUUUUAACCUGAAUGGACAGUUCUUCCGUUGGUGGUGACGUACGAAGCAGAAGCAGUACUUGCCUUCUUCCCAUUCACGAAGAACACAAGUGUGGUGCAGGAAUCCACGUUCUGAGGCAUGGUAAAGACACGUGAUGUUCAGAGGAGUAAGACAAGUAGUGAAGGAAC
Molecule: long non-coding RNA, 1315 nt
Organism: Homarus americanus (American lobster)
Lineage: Eukaryota; Metazoa; Arthropoda; Malacostraca; Decapoda; Nephropidae
Exons: 4
Source: RefSeq, a predicted model, not a curated record